UCAAGCGAAGAAGGGCGCAGGGCGGAUGCCUUGGCACUGAGAGCCGAUGAAAGACGUGAUAAGCUGCGAUAAGCUUCGGGGAGGAGCAAAUAUCCUUUGAUCCGGAGAUCUCUGAAUGGGGAAACCCGGCUGUAUGGACUACAGUCAUCCAUAAGUGAAUCCAUAGCUUAUGGAAGGGAACCCGGGGAACUGAAACAUCUAAGUACCCGGAGGAAGAGAAAGAAACAUCGAUUCCGUAAGUAGCGGCGAGCGAACGCGGAAGAGCCCAAACCGUGAUGCGUGCAUCGCGGGGUUCGGACUGCAUAAGGGAUUCAGUAACGGCAGGAGAACGGCUUUGGAACAGCCGGCCAGAGAGGGUGAGAGCCCCGUAUCCGAAGCCAGAGCUGACCCGGCAGGAUCCAGAGUACCACGGGACACGGGAAACCCUGUGGGAACGAGCGGAGACCACUCCGUAAGGCUAAAUACUACUCAGUGACCGAUAGCGUAUAGUACUGUGAAGGAAAGGUGAAAAGAACCCCGGGAGGGGAGUGAAAGAGAACCUGAAACCCUGUGUCUACAAGCUGUGGAAGUACUUCUCAGGUACGACCGCGUACUUUUUGUAGAACGGUCCGGCGAGCUGCGGGUACUGGCAAGGUUAAGCACUUCAGGUGCGGAGCCGUAGGGAAACCAAGUCUUAAGAGGGCGUUUUAGUCAGUACGUGCAGGCCCGAAACCGGGUGACCUAUCCAUGUCCAGGUUGAAGCCGCCGUAAAAGGCGAUGGAGGACCGAACCCACAUCCGUUGAAAAGGGUGGGGAUGAGGUGUGGAUAGCGGAGAAAUUCCAAUCGAACCCGGAGAUAGCUGGUUCUCCUCGAAAUAGCUUUAGGGCUAGCCUCAUACAAGUCUGCCGGAGGUAGAGCACUGAAUUUCCGCGGGGGCGUCAAAGCCUACCAAAGAAUAUCAAACUCCGAAUGCCGGACAGAUGGUGUAUGGGAGUCAGACUGUACGAGAUAAGUUGGACAGUCAAAAGGGAAAGAGCCCAGACCGCCGGCUAAGGUCCCAAAGUGGGUGUUAAGUGGAAAAGGAUGUGGGAUCUCUAAGACAACCAGGAUGUUGGCUCAGAAGCAGCCAUUCAUUAAAAGAGUGCGUAACAGCUCACUGGUCGAGAGGUCCUGCGCCGAAAAUGUCCGGGGCUGAAACACCACACCGAAGCCGCGGAACCCGUAAGGGUUGGUAGAGGAGCAUUCUUAGGGGAGCGAAGCAUUACCGGAAGGGGAUGUGGACCGCUAAGAAGAGAGAAUGCCGGAAUGAGUAGCGAGAGCAAGGUGAGAAUCCUUGCGGCCGAAUAUCCAAGGUUUCCAGAGUAAAGCUGAUCUGCUCUGGGUAAGUCGGGGCCUAAGGAGAGGCAGAGAUGCGUAUCCGAUGGACAGCAGGUUUAAGAUUCCUGCACCCCUUGUUAUCAGAACUGCGGGGACACGGGAAGGGAAGCAGAGCCGGGAAUGGAAAGCCCGGUGCAAGCGAAGUAGUCGCAGGGUUGGAAAAUCCGCCCUGCAUGAGACGAAGGCGUGAUGCGGAGCGAAAUGAAGUAGUGAAGCUGCGGCCCCUUCCUGUCGAGAAAAGCCGCUAUCGUGUAGCAAGGGCCCGUACCGUAAACCGACACAGGUGGAUGAGGAGAGGAUCCUAAGGCCGGCGGGAGAAGUGUUGUUAAGGAACUCGGCAAAAUGACUCCGUAACUUCGGGAGAAGGAGUGCUGCGCAAGCAGCCGCAGAGAAAUGGCCCAAGCAACUGUUUAGCAAAAACACAGGUCUAUGCGAAACCGGAAGGUGAGGUAUAUGGGCUGACGCCUGCCCGGUGCUGGAAGGUUAAGGGGAGAGCUUAGCGCGAGCGAAGGUUUGAACUUAAGCCCCAGUAAACGGCGGCCGUAACUAUAACGGUCCUAAGGUAGCGAAAUUCCUUGUCGGGUAAGUUCCGACCC
Molecule: ribosomal RNA, 1953 nt
Filed under: human gut metagenome
Description: bacterial LSU rRNA
Rfam family: Bacterial large subunit ribosomal RNA
Source: RNAcentral